GUGAUUAAAUCGAGCGUGUCUUCAUUGACCGCUCACCCUUCUCACCAUCCACAUACACCUAGUGCACUGUUUAGCCUGAGCCGGUUUUCCGGUCCAGGUUAUCAUUUCAUACAAACUCUAGUUUAUGAAUGUAAACGUUUUAAUAACAUAAUA
RNAcentral lists this unclassified non-coding RNA (153 nucleotides) under soil metagenome. RNAcentral describes it as "partial internal transcribed spacer 1". The record is from RNAcentral.